RNAcentral lists this ribosomal RNA (253 nucleotides) under uncultured bacterium. RNAcentral's name for it is "partial 16S ribosomal RNA". It matches the Rfam family "Bacterial small subunit ribosomal RNA", at positions 524 to 776 of the family's 1533-position model. The record is from RNAcentral.
UACAGAGGUGGCAAGCGUUGUUCGGAAUUACUGGGCGUAAAGGGCGCGUAGGCGGUCUGGUCAGUCCCGUGUGAAAUCCCUCGGCUCAACUGAGGAACUGCACGGGAAACUGCCUGGCUUGAGUUCGGGAGAGGGAAGCGGAAUUCCGGGUGUAGCGGUGAAAUGCGUAGAUAUCCGGAGGAACACCGGUGGCGAAGGCGGCUUCCUGGACCGACACUGACGCUGAUGCGCGAAAGCUAGGGGAGCAAACGGG